Molecule: ribosomal RNA, 490 nt
Filed under: uncultured bacterium
Lineage: Bacteria
Description: partial 16S ribosomal RNA
Rfam family: Bacterial small subunit ribosomal RNA
Source: RNAcentral
AAUGAACGCUGGCGGCAUGCCUUACACAUGCAAGUCGAACGGCAGCAUGACCUCGCUUGCUAGGUUGAUGGCGAGUGGCGAACGGGUGAGUAAUGCAUCGGAACGUGCCUUUUAGUGGGGGAUAACGUAGCGAAAGUUACGCUAAUACCGCAUAUUCUCUGAGGAGGAGAGCAGGGGACCUUCGGGCCUUGCGCUAGAAGAGCGGCCGAUGUCGGAUUAGCUAGUUGGUGAGGUAAAGGCCCACCAAGGCAACGAUCCGUAGCGGGUCUGAGAGGAUGAUCCGCCACACUGGGACUGAGACACGGCCCAGACUCCUACGGGAGGCAGCAGUGGGGAAUUUUGGACAAUGGGCGCAAGCCUGAUCCAGCCAUGCCGCGUGAGUGAAGAAGGCCUUCGGGUUGUAAAGCUCUUUCGGCUGGGAAGAAAUCGCACCCUCUAAUACAGGGUGUGGAUGACGGUACCAGCAGAAGAAGCACCGGCUAACUACGUG